AUGAACGCUGGCGGCGUGCCUAAUACAUGCAAGUCGAGCGAACAGACGAGGAGCUUGCUCCUCUGACGUUAGCGGCGGACGGGUGAGUAACACGUGGAUAACCUACCUAUAAGACUGGGAUAACUUCGGGAAACCGGAGCUAAUACCGGAUAACAUGUUGAACCGCAUGGUUCAACAGUGAAAGACGGUUUUGCUGUCACUUAUAGAUGGAUCCGCGUCGCAUUAGCUAGUUGGUAAGGUAACGGCUUACCAAGGCAACGAUGCGUAGCCGACCUGAGAGGGUGAUCGGCCACACUGGAACUGAGACACGGUCCAGACUCCUACGGGAGGCAGCAGUAGGGAAUCUUCCGCAAUGGGCGAAAGCCUGACGGAGCAACGCCGCGUGAGUGAAGAAGGUCUUCGGAUCGUAAAACUCUGUUAUUAGGGAAGAGCAAAUGUGUAAGUAACUAUGCACGUCUUGACGGUACCUAAUCAGAAAGCCACGGCUAACUACGUG
This 496-nucleotide ribosomal RNA is filed under the name uncultured bacterium. Its description in RNAcentral is "partial 16S ribosomal RNA". It matches the Rfam family "Bacterial small subunit ribosomal RNA", at positions 29 to 507 of the family's 1533-position model. The record is from RNAcentral.